CCUACGGGAGGCAGCAGUGAGGAAUAUUGGUCAGUGGUCGGAAGACUGAACCAGCCAAGUAGCGUGAAGGAUGAAGGUUCUAUGGAUUGUAAACUUCUUUUAUACGGGAAUAAAACCACCUACGUGUAGGUGCUUGUAUGUACCGUAUGAAUAAGCAUCGGCUAACUCCGUGCCAGCAGCCGCGGUAAU
RNAcentral lists this ribosomal RNA (189 nucleotides) under uncultured bacterium. Its description in RNAcentral is "partial 16S ribosomal RNA". It matches the Rfam family "Bacterial small subunit ribosomal RNA", at positions 338 to 524 of the family's 1533-position model. The record is from RNAcentral.